GGAGGGAGGGGGAUUCGAGGAAGACUGAGAUUACCAAGGUGCGGGAUCUGGCCACUGACUCGGCGAGGGCGGCGCCCACCUUUGGCAGGCUCCAGUCUGAUUGGCUGGUGCCUCUCUGAGGACCCCGAGAGUCGGGAACAGGAGACCGGUUGUUUCCAAGGAGACAAGGCUGUCUGCUGGGGACCAACGGAGGGAGCGGCGGGAUUGGCUGGUGGAAGACUGCAGUAUUACCAAGGUGGCGCUGACGUCUCCGACCACUGACGCUCGGCCGAGGGCGGCCCACCUUGGCAGGCUCAGCUCCGAUUGGCUGGUGCCUCCCUGAGGACGCCGGGAGUAGGAAACAGGUAAGUGAGGAGUGAGAGGCCGGCACCCGCCCAACUCCCCCCCCACACUCGGGCUCCUGAGCGUGGGAGCAAAGGGACCAGGAAACCUAAGGCCCAGACUCAUGCCUGUAUAGAGAGAAUGUAUACCUGCUUAGCUACCUACAUACAUCAAUGAACAGAGAAAAUAUGGGUAUGGAUAGAUAUUGUAAUGCCGGAGAAACUGAGGCAGGAGAGAGAUUAGAGAGUUUUUAAUAGUUUAC
RNAcentral lists this long non-coding RNA (583 nucleotides) under Sarcophilus harrisii (Tasmanian devil). Its description in RNAcentral is "lncRNA (ENSSHAG00000031571.1)". The record is from RNAcentral. Lineage: Eukaryota; Metazoa; Chordata; Mammalia; Dasyuromorphia; Dasyuridae.